AUUGAACGCUGGCGGAAUGCUUUACACAUGCAAGUCGAACGGCAGCACGGGGCAACCUGGUGGCGAGUGGCGAACGGGUGAGUAAUACAUCGGAACGUGCCCAAUCGUGGGGGAUAACGUAGCGAAAGCUACGCUAAUACCGCAUACGAUCUACGGAUGAAAGCGGGGGAUCGCAAGACCUCGCGCGAAUGGAGCGGCCGAUGGCAGAUUAGGUAGUUGGUGGGGUAAAGGCUCACCAAGCCUGCGAUCUGUAGCUGGUCUGAGAGGACGACCAGCCACACUGGAACUGAGACACGGUCCAGACUCCUACGGGAGGCAGCAGUGGGGAAUUUUGGACAAUGGGCGCAAGCCUGAUCCAGCCAUUCCGCGUGCAGGAUGAAGGCCCUCGGGUUGUAAACUGCUUUUGUACGGAACGAAAAAGGCUUUCUCUAAUACAGGGGGCUCAUGACGGUACCGUAAGAAUAAAGCACCGGCUAACUACGUGCCAGCAGCCGCG
Molecule: ribosomal RNA, 496 nt
Filed under: uncultured bacterium
Lineage: Bacteria
Description: bacterial SSU rRNA
Rfam family: Bacterial small subunit ribosomal RNA
Source: RNAcentral